AUUGAACGCUGGCGGCAGGCCUAACACAUGCAAGUCGAGCGGAUGAAGGGAGCUUGCUCCUGGAUUCAGCGGCGGACGGGUGAGUAAUGCCUAGGAAUCUGCCUGGUAGUGGGGGAUAACGUCCGGAAACGGGCGCUAAUACCGCAUACGUCCUGAGGGAGAAAGUGGGGGAUCUUCGGACCUCACGCUAUCAGAUGAGCCUAGGUCGGAUUAGCUAGUUGGUGGGGUAAAGGCCUACCAAGGCGACGAUCCGUAACUGGUCUGAGAGGAUGAUCAGUCACACUGGAACUGAGACACGGUCCAGACUCCUACGGGAGGCAGCAGUGGGGAAUAUUGGACAAUGGGCGAAAGCCUGAUCCAGCCAUGCCGCGUGUGUGAAGAAGGUCUUCGGAUUGUAAAGCACUUUAAGUUGGGAGGAAGAGCAGUAAGUUAAUACCUUGCUGUUUUGACGUUACCAACAGAAUAAGCACCGGCUAACUACGUG
RNAcentral lists this ribosomal RNA (484 nucleotides) under uncultured bacterium. RNAcentral describes it as "partial 16S ribosomal RNA". It matches the Rfam family "Bacterial small subunit ribosomal RNA", at positions 30 to 507 of the family's 1533-position model. The record is from RNAcentral.